CCGCUGUCGUCCCAGUGACAUCUGUUGCCUCCGUGCCUGAGCCCAGACCCAGGAAAAUAGUCGACACCAGGGUUAAGACAGCCGUUGAUGUCGCUGUUAAUCAGCCGGGGGUACCGAAGGUGAAGGAGGCCGCCCCAGAGCCUGCGAAGGAUGACCCCCCUCCGGUUUCUGUUGUAGUAAAAGACCCAUUUGAAGGCAUGAAGCCAGGAUGCACCAAGGUGGCCACUCCUCUCCCUGUACUCCUCCCCGAGUUAGUUCAGACAGUCAGUGCAGAGCCAGAACUUGAGGAUUCAAACGUUUCUGGCCAAGUUUACACCCCUUUGAUUAAAUUCACCCCGGCGUCACCAACCCCAUUGUCACCUACCCCUGUGUCACCUGUCCCACUGUCUCCUGCCCCUGAGUCUUCGGCAAUAGUCACAGUGACGAUUGAACCUAUACCUGAACCAGAAACAGCACCAGCUCCAAAGCCACGCUCCAGUGUUGACACGCUCACCGCCUUGUCCGGCACUCUCAUUUCUUUCGACACAAGUUCAACCAGGUAAUGGAUAAAAGGAAAAGAUGAAAGCAGCAGAAACCAAUAUGAAGGAAAAAAUAAUAUCAUGUUAGUGCCUGCAGCCUCAACAACCAUCUGAUAAUAAGAGUUUGUUUUCUCUCCAGCUUUGUGGAUGAUGAGCCAGUGCUGGCAGAGGAAGAAGGAGGCUCAGUGGACAGACGAACCUCAGAGGACAGGUAAAAAAAAAAACAACCAACUUCCUCAUUUAUGUCAGAGCAGGGUUGGCAAAAAAAAAAGAGAUAAUGGCUAACUGC
Molecule: long non-coding RNA, 807 nt
Filed under: Cottoperca gobio
Lineage: Eukaryota; Metazoa; Chordata; Actinopteri; Perciformes; Bovichtidae
Description: lncRNA (ENSCGOG00000015144.1)
Source: RNAcentral